GCGGGAAAAGCUCAAAUUUAAAAUCUGGUGGUCUUUGGCCAUCCGAGUUGUAAUUUAGAGAAGCGUCUUCCGCGCUGGACCGUGCAUAAGUCUCCUGGAAUGGAGCGUCAUAGAGGGUGAGAAUCCCGUCUUUGGCAYGGAYCCCAGGGCUUCUGUGAUGCGCUCUCAAAGAGUCGAGUUGUUUGGGAAUGCAGCUCAAAAUGGGUGGUGAACUCCAUCUAAAGCUAAAUAUUGGCGAGAGACCGAUAGCGAACAAGUACCGUGAGGGAAAGAUGAAAAGCACUUUGGAAAGAGAGUGAAACAGUACGUGAAAUUGUUGAAAGGGAAACGCUUGAAGUCAGUCGCGUCGACCGAGACUCAGCCUUGCCUCGGCUUGGUGUACUUCUCGGCUGACGGGUCAGCAUCAAUUUCGAUCCUUGGAUAAUGGCAAGGGAAAGGUAGCACCUUUACAGGUGUGUUAUAGUCCUCUGUCGGAUGCAAGGGUCGGGAUUGAGGAACUCAGCAYGCACCUUUUAGGUGUCGGGGCCUCGGCCUACGUUACGUGCUUAGGAUGCUGGCAUAAUGGCUUUAAACGACCCGUCUUGAAACACGGACCAAGGAGUCUAACAUGCACGCGAGUGUUCGGGUGGAAAACCCGUGCGCGUAAUGAAAGUAAAAGUUGGGACCUCUGUCGUGGAGGGCACCGACGCCCGGACCAGACCUUCUGUGACGGCUCUGCGGUAGAGCGUGUAUGUUGGGACCCGAAAGAUGGUGAACUAUGCCUGAAUAGGGUGAAGCCAGAGGAAACUCUGGUGGAGGCUCGUAGCGAUUCUGACGUGCAAAUCGAUCGUCAAAUUUGGGUAUAGG
This 846-nucleotide ribosomal RNA is filed under the name Russula aff. aosma. RNAcentral describes it as "partial large subunit ribosomal RNA". Lineage: Eukaryota; Fungi; Basidiomycota; Agaricomycetes; Russulales; Russulaceae. The record is from RNAcentral.